RNAcentral lists this ribosomal RNA (925 nucleotides) under 'Artemisia vulgaris' phytoplasma. Its description in RNAcentral is "bacterial SSU rRNA". It matches the Rfam family "Bacterial small subunit ribosomal RNA", at positions 276 to 1208 of the family's 1533-position model. Lineage: Bacteria; Bacillati; Mycoplasmatota; Mollicutes; Acholeplasmatales; Acholeplasmataceae. The record is from RNAcentral.
AUGAUGUGUAGCCGGGCUGAGAGGUUGAACGGCCACAUUGGGACUGAGACACGGCCCAAACUCCUACGGGAGGCAGCAGUAGGGAAUUUUCGGCAAUGGAGGAAACUCUGACCGAGCAACGCCGCGUGAACGAUGAAGUAUUUCGGUACGUAAAGUUCUUUUAUUAGGGAAGAAUAAAUGAUGGAAAAAUCAUUCUGACGGUACCUAAUGAAUAAGCCCCGGCUAACUAUGUGCCAGCAGCCGCGGUAAUACAUAGGGGGCAAGCGUUAUCCGGAAUUAUUGGGCGUAAAGGGUGCGUAGGCGGUUAAAUAAGUUUAUGGUCUAAGUGCAAUGCUCAACAUUGUGAUGCUAUAAAAACUGUUUAGCUAGAGUAAGAUAGAGGCAAGUGGAAUUCCAUGUGUAGUGGUAAAAUGCGUAAAUAUAUGGAGGAACACCAGUAGCGAACGAAGGCGGCUUGCUGGGUCUUUACUGACGCUGAGGCACGAAAGCGUGGGGAGCAAACAGGAUUAGAUACCCUGGUAGUCCACGCCGUAACGAUGAGUACUAAACGUUGGGUAAAACCAGUGUUGAAGUUAACACAUUAAGUACUCCGCCUGAGUAGUACGUACCAAGUAUGAAACUUAAAGGAAUUGACGGGACUCCGCACAAGCGGUGGAUCAUGUUGUUUAAUUCGAAGGUACCCGAAAAACCUCACCAGGUCUUGACAUGCUUCUGCAAAGCUGUAGAAACACAGUGGAGGUUAUCAGUUGCACAGGUGGUGCAUGGUUGUCGUCAGCUCGUGUCGUGAGAUGUUGGGUUAAGUCCCGCAACGAGCGCAACCCUUAUUGUUAGUUACCAGCACGUAAUGGUGGGGACUUUAGCAAGACUGCCAGUGAUAAAUUGGAGGAAGGUGGGGACGACGUCAAAUCAUCAUGCCCCUUAUGAC